Molecule: ribosomal RNA, 440 nt
Filed under: uncultured bacterium
Lineage: Bacteria
Description: partial 16S ribosomal RNA
Rfam family: Bacterial small subunit ribosomal RNA
Source: RNAcentral
CCUACGGGAGGCAGCAGUGGGGAAUAUUGCACAAUGGGGGAAACCCUGAUGCAGCGAUGCCGCGUGGAGGAAGAAGGUUUUCGGAUUGUAAACUCCUUUUAUCAGGGACGAUAAUGACGGUACCCCAAUAGCAAGCCACGGCUAACUACGUGCCAGCAGCCGCGGUAAUACGUAGGUGGCAAGCGUUAUCCGGAAUGACUGGGCGUAAAGGGUGCGUAGGUGGUUUAGUAAGUUGGCGGUGUAAUUCCGGGGCUCAACCUCGGCGCUACCGCCAAAACUAUUAGACUAGAGUGCAGGAGGGGUAAGUGGAAUUCCUAGUGUAGCGGUGGAAUGCGUAGAUAUUAGGAGGAACAUCAGGGGCGAAGGCGACUUACUGGACUGUAACUGACACUGAGGCACGAAAGCGUGGGGAGCAAACAGGAUUAGAUACCCUUGUAGUC